RNAcentral lists this ribosomal RNA (483 nucleotides) under uncultured bacterium. RNAcentral describes it as "partial 16S ribosomal RNA". It matches the Rfam family "Bacterial small subunit ribosomal RNA", at positions 28 to 507 of the family's 1533-position model. The record is from RNAcentral.
GACGAACGCUGGCGGCGUGCUUAACACAUGCAAGUCGAACGAUGAAGCGGGUGCUUGCACUCGUGGAUUAGUGGCGAACGGGCGAGUAACACGUGAGUAACCUGUCCUUUUCUUUGGGAUAACGGCUGGAAACGGCUGCUAAUACUGGAUAUUCAGGCUGCAUCGCAUGGUGUGGUUUGGAAAGGUUUUUUCUGGGAUUGGGUGGGCUCGCGGCCUAUCAGCUUGUUGGUGGGGUGAUGGCUUACCAAGGCUUUGACGGGUAGCCGGCCUGAGAGGGUGGUCGGUCGCACUGGGACUGAGAUACGGCCCAGACUCCUACGGGAGGCAGCAGUGGGGAAUAUUGCACAAUGGACGAAAGUUUGAUGCAGCGACGCCGCGUGGAGGGUGUAGGCCUUCGGGUUGUGAACUCCAUUUUCUCGCGAAAAAGGCACAGUUUUGGCUGUGUUGAUGGUAGUGGGGGAAGAAGCGCCGGCUAACUACGUG